This 433-nucleotide ribosomal RNA is filed under the name uncultured bacterium. RNAcentral's name for it is "partial 16S ribosomal RNA". It matches the Rfam family "Bacterial small subunit ribosomal RNA", at positions 29 to 507 of the family's 1533-position model. The record is from RNAcentral.
AACGAACGCUGGCGGCAUGCCUAACACAUGCAAGUCGAACGAGACCUUCGGGUCUAGUGGCGCACGGGUGCGUAACGCGUGGGAACCUGCCCUUAGGUUCGGAAUAACUCCCCGAAAGGGGUGCUAAUACCGGAGAAUGUCUUCGGACCAAAGAUUUAUCGCCUUUGGAUGGGCCCGCGUUGGAUUAGCUAGUUGGUAGGGUAAAAGCCUACCAAGGCGACGAUCCAUAGCUGGUCUGAGAGGAUGAUCAGCCACACUGGGACUGAGACACGGCCCAGACUCCUACGGGAGGCAGCAGUGGGGAAUAUUGGACAAUGGGCGAAAGCCUGAUCCAGCAAUGCCGCGUGAGUGAUGAAGGCCGUAGGGUUGUAAAGCUCUUUUACCCGGGAUGAUAAUGACAGUACCGGGAGAAUAAGCUCCGGCUAACUCCGUG